This is a long non-coding RNA of Perognathus longimembris pacificus (Pacific pocket mouse), 2098 nucleotides long. RefSeq lists it as uncharacterized. NCBI's taxonomy places the organism in Eukaryota, Metazoa, Chordata, Mammalia, Rodentia, Heteromyidae. The record is from RefSeq and is a predicted model, not a curated record. The transcript has 2 exons.
AGACUGAGUGAAAACUGAUACAGAAAUAAAAGGAAAAGAAAAUCUAAGAAAUAGAGAAGUACAAGGAAAUUUAAGCUGUCAAUUGACAUUUAGUUUUUUCUACUACAGUUUUAUCCAUUAAUAAGGAUGCUUCUUUGUAAAGGGCAGAAAACACAAAAUAGGAAAUUAUUGGCCCCUAUCAAGGGAGAGUCAAGAAGACACUUUGGUACAGUUGAGUGUAAUAGCCUUGAUAAGUAAUGAGGACUCAGUUUUUCUUGCUCUUUCAUUUGUAUUGGCAUCAGUCUCAGAUUUGAUGGGGAACAAUUUGGUUACUGUCUUUCAAAUUAUUAGUAUCUUCUCAGGUUUAAGUACACUGGAAAAGGGAGCUUGCUCAGGAAAAGAACUUGAGAUUAAGCUCUGAAUUAGUCCUGCUCGAUUUUGUGUGAAUCACUCUCUGUCCCAUCCAGACUCACUAGUUUGAGCAAGAGGAUAGAAUGUGUUGAUUGCUUCUGGCUUCUCUCAUGCUUCAGAUGUCUGUAUAGAGCCAAAUCAGAGACCCUCCUCAUAACCCCACAGCCUGAGGUUGGAGAAGAGGAGAUUCUAAAGAGAAGGGGGCUACAGAAGUAGGGCAAAACUGUGAUGUUAAGCCCAACACAUCUAAGGUCUGUUACACAUAUGAUAUACUAGCAUAUUCCUAACAUCUUGAGUUAAGGGUGGUUCUAAGACAAGGAUAUUUCAAGUGGUUUUUGUUUUAGUAGCAUCUUUAAGUUUUUGUACAGUAGUUUUGCUCUUAGAUAUCUGCUGAGUAAGUAUGUACAGAGUUUGUACUCUAGUUACUUCUCAAAGCUUUUGUUAAUCACUUGUAAUUGCUAAGUAAUUGUGGGAUUUUCAUGCAGUUAUUUAGCAAUAACAAUAUUCCUAUUUUACAGAUGCUAUUGUGCUUAUUUGAUGCCAUUUAUGAAAUGUAGUAAUGGAUUAAAUUAAAAUGUUUCCACUAUCAGAAAAUGUUUAAAAAGUAGUUAAAAUAGUUGCAUCAAUUUUCCCCAGUCAAGUUAUUAGAGACAACCUUGUGACUUAGUCUAAUAACUGAUAGACAAGUGUGACAUAUUGUUGCAUGUUUGGGGGUAGCUUGUCAUAUAACAAUGACCUGUAGAAUUUUUGGAUAUGAUAUAUUACUUCAGAAACUAAGAUGGAUAUUUGAAUUUGUUCUACCUGUAAAAUUCAAGCCAGAGAUGAAUGAGCUCUUGCCAGCUUGGCCUAUUUAAGAAGGCAAUAUACAGUCAGAUACAACAAAAUUUCCCUUUAUUGUCACAGAUUACUGUAUAAAUAGGUGAUGACAAAUCAAUUAUCCAAAUCAUGGCAUUGUCGAAAGUGACAAGAAAAUGAUUUUACUGGAAGACCAGGUAGAAUCUAGACAAACUGGGACCUUAAGUCAUCCUUUGUUUAUAUGAAGCAACUUUUAUUAAUUGUGAACUUAAUAUUAAAUUCUCUAUAUGAGAUACAAUGUCAGAAUACUUUUUGUUUCUUGCAACGCAUUCUGACAAGUGAUCUGUUGAUUUUUUUUCUUUAAGAGCUUAGCACCAUUUUAAACUCUUAGAGAUAUGCUAGUGUUUGUGAAGGCUCACUUCUCUCUUUAUUUUCUAGCAGAUUAUUUUACAACAGAAGCUUGAAAUUUCUGAGUGACAGAUGUAGAUUUUCUGUCACAUUUCUGAUCCCCUCUUAGACUAAGACAUACAAGGAAAUCUAUGAGAACAGUGCUUGGUAGUGUACUUGAUCAUUAAGAUUGUCAAUAAGAUAGUAGAGGUUGGAAUGACACUGAGAGGUCUUUUAGUGUCUCAUCCCCACUCCCUUAGCUCUACUAAUUUUAAUGCAUCACAUACAAGUUAUCUUUUCCUUAUCCUUGAGACUCUAGGUGGCAUUCAUGGGUAACAGAAAGAAUGGAGGCAACAAAUUUCAUAUUAACUUUUAUAUUUUUUUAUUCAGAAUACUUUGAUUGUUUUUUAUUUUUUUUAAGAAUGGACUUACUUUGUUAAGCAUACUUUCUGUUCCCAGUCAUGUGGUAGCAUAAUAAAUAUACAAGAAUGUGGAUUAAUAUGUCACUAACUUUUCUAAAAGUCAU